GUGGGGAAUAUUGCGCAAUGGGCGAAAGCCUGACGCAGCGACGCCGCGUGAGGGAUGAAGGUUUUCGGAUCGUAAACCUCUGUCAGAAGGGAAGAAACUACGUUGUGCUAAUCAGCAGCGUACUGACGGUACCUUCAAAGGAAGCACCGGCUAACUCCGUGCCAGCAGCCGCGGUAAUACGGAGGGUGCAAGCGUUAAUCGGAAUUACUGGGCGUAAAGCGCACGUAGGCUGUAGUGUAAGUCAGGGGUGAAAUCCCACGGCUCAACCGUGGAACUGCCUUUGAUACUGCACAACUUGAAUCCGGGAGAGGGUGGCGGAAUUCCAGGUGUAGGAGUGAAAUCCGUAGAUAUCUGGAGGACCAUCAGUGGCGAAGGCGGCCACCUGGACCGGUAUUGACGCUGAGGUGCGAAAGCUAGGGGAGCGAACGGGAUUAGAAACCCGGGUAGUCC
Molecule: ribosomal RNA, 450 nt
Filed under: uncultured bacterium
Lineage: Bacteria
Description: partial 16S ribosomal RNA
Rfam family: Bacterial small subunit ribosomal RNA
Source: RNAcentral